AGAUUGUUAGUGAUAUUUUAAAGAGAUUAUGUAUAACUUUAAUGUGUUUACAGUGAAUUGCGAGAGUUGUGCUUAUUUUUCUUGGUUAGGUUAAUUAGUUUUUUUUUUUGUUUCGUUUAUUUCAUUUAGAAGUAAACUUAGCUGGAAAUGUGAAUCAAUUAGGAUUCGAAUUUGGGUCUCGGGUACCAACCACCAAGCCCUUUGCCACUGGUUAGGUUAAUUAGUUACUCUAGUAACAUGUGAAA
This 245-nucleotide long non-coding RNA is filed under the name Ananas comosus (pineapple). Its description in RNAcentral is "long non-coding RNA (ACOM_LNC004120)". The record is from RNAcentral. Lineage: Eukaryota; Viridiplantae; Streptophyta; Magnoliopsida; Poales; Bromeliaceae.